CCUACGGGAGGCUGCAGUAGGGAAUAUUGCUCAAUGGGGGAAACCCUGAAGCAGCAACGCCGCGUGGAGGAUGAAGGUUUUAGGAUUGUAAACUCCUUUUGUUAGAGAAGAUUAUGACGGUAUCUAACGAAUAAGCACCGGCUAACUCCGUGCCAGCAGCCGCGGUAAUACGGAGGGUGCAAGCGUUACUCGGAAUCACUGGGCGUAAAGAGUGCGUAGGCGGGGUAAUAAGUCAGAUGUGAAAUCCUGUAGCUUAACUACAGAACUGCAUUUGAAACUGUUACUCUGGAGUGUGGGAGAGGUAGGUGGAAUUCUUGGUGUAGGGGUAAAAUGCGUAGAUAUCAAGAGGAAUACUCAUUGCGAAGGCGACCUGCUGGAACAUUACUGACGCUGAUGCACGAAAGCGUGGGGAGCAAACAGGAUUAGAUACCCGAGUAGUC
Molecule: ribosomal RNA, 440 nt
Filed under: uncultured bacterium
Lineage: Bacteria
Description: partial 16S ribosomal RNA
Rfam family: Bacterial small subunit ribosomal RNA
Source: RNAcentral